AUUUAAGUCGCAUCACCUCUCUUACACAUCACUUCAAACCCAACCCAUAUUUCAUAAAAAGUCAAAAAGUGUACUUAUUUAGUUUUCCCAAACUAGGCCUAAGUCAAUUAGGAUAACAGAAAAGUUCUGGAAGAUCAAUAUAAAACUCUUACAACAUAAAAACAUUUUGACACCAACUUCAACUAGGUCAGUUCCAUUGCUUGAAUAAAUCAUUUAUUUCUAUCUUCACUUAAGUGACUUUUACCAGUGAAUAGAAAAGGUGAGCAAAGAGAACGACAACAUGUUGAAAUCCUGUGCUAAAAGAUUACAGUUGUACAAAGAUCAUAAUAAUAUACUUCUCAUCUUACUCUACCAUUUAGUUUCUUAAUCUAUCUAUAAUAGUCAAUCCAUUCAUUUGAAAUUCAUUUAUCCAAGUGGAACCUAAAUGUUUCUAUAUGUUUGUGUGGGAGUUAUUGCUUCAUGUGCAGGCUGUGCUUUCAGUUCUUCUUGCGACGCUUGCUGGAUUUGGAGGCGCAAUGAGUGGGACCGCUAUUCUUCUCGAGACCUUAAAAUUGAGAAGACGGUGGCAAGGUUGGUUAAAUCAACAACCAAGUUCUGAAGAGGUGUACUAUGUCUACCACUCUAUGCUGCUGGUUUUUCUGAUUCUCAUUAUUGUUACGGUUUGUGUAACAAUUUGGGAACAUAUUUCUUUCUAAAUGCCGAGAACUAUCACUGGCAGUGGCCUUCAUUCUUCUCUGCUGCAUCAACAGCUGUCUAUGUGCACUUGUAUUCAAUAUAUUACUACUACGUGAAGACUAAGAUGUCAGGCUUCUUCCAGACCAGCUUCUAUUUUGGAUACAGUAUGAUGUUUUGCCUCGGUUUAGGAAUUCUUUGCGGGGGAGUUUUAUUGUUUCCACAAGCAUUCUUUUAUUGCUGCACUGCUCUAUUGUUGCUUCCUCAUUUGUUUAUAUAAUUUCUAUAGCCCCAAAGCCUUUUAUCAUGCUACUGAAAAUCCUAUUAGGAAUUAUGAUAUUUGAUUUGCUGAUCAAAACCAAAAAAGAAAUAUUAUGAAAUUUGAUUUGUUUUCAGUUUUGUACCCUUAGAAACAUAGAGGGAAUUUCUAUUUUUUGCCUGAAAUUUCGUAUAGUGGCAAACUAUGAAUAACGGAUCAGAAUCUCUAGAAUUUUUGUGAAGACUUUACAACUCACUUAAUAUGAGAAUUCCACUGCAUUAUAACCAUUAAUCAAUUCCAAGUUGGUGUAACCGUGACAUGAAACUUCCCUUCUCUCUCCCUUGCUUUUGAAAAAAUCAUACACACAAGCAGAUGAUAAUUAGUGUGACUUUUUUUUUUUUUUGGUCUUUCCAUGGUUCAAAAUAUUCUCUGUUGUUUUGUAGAGGCACCUAAACCAAUAAAUGCAGACCUCAUCACCUAGUGGAAAAUUUCUUUGAAAAAUCUUUUAUGGCUAUGACUUUAUGAUUAAUAAUGACACAGAAAAUAGGAUUGGUGAGGAAAGCCAAUAGAGGUACAACCCAUUUUGUUUGAGACAGAGGCACUAAAGCAGUGGGUGUUUGGCUUAGCUUGUUUCUGAAGAUGAGGCUCAGCAAGGAGUUGGGAAGCAUAACUGAAACUACACUGCAUUUUCUACUUUUGGCCCCUUUUUUGUGUUGCUUCCUAAAAGUCAGUUUGCUUUUGGUAUUUUGUGUGAUGCCAUUGUCUGACAAUCAAUCUGUCUUUUUUCACAAAAAAAUGUAAUUUCAGUUUUGGUAUUUUUUUUUGUCAAUGUAUUCUCUUUCUCUUGUUUAAUAAAGUUUCAUUUACUUA
Non-coding RNA from Camellia sinensis, 1801 nucleotides. The record is from RefSeq and is a predicted model, not a curated record. Lineage: Eukaryota; Viridiplantae; Streptophyta; Magnoliopsida; Ericales; Theaceae.